CUCACUGGCACGCCCCGGGGUGGGCAAAGACUUGGCGCGAACACACUCUUGCACAUGCGCACACAGCUAGCUUCCUGAAAGGAAGUCGGGCUGGCGCAGCGGAAGCCAGCGCCAUCUUGUAAUGGCGAAUGCUAUCGCGGCUUUCCACAGAAAUUAACCUCAAUGAUAAUGGGCUUUAGUGUUCUUUAAAAACAACAAAAAAGUGUCUAUUGAUUCAUUUAAUAUUGAUUGACUACUUAGGUGUUAAUAUCUGAUCUUGCUAUUUUUCAACUUAGAAUGAUAUUGACAACAAAUUACUAAACUAUGGGAGCCAAAAGAAGUCAGUAACCUGUCUGUAUGGCUACAGCUGCAAUGUAAGGCAUGGCUGGAGACGAAGAAGAGACUAUUCAGUGUAAGGAAGAGUUGUAAAAAAUUGCUCUAUUCUUCUUUCUAUAUGACUUUCCUUCUAGUGUGGUGUGCAAGUUUUCCUUUUGAAUGACUACUGUCUGUGUUUCCUCCUCUUCAUCUCAUUCUUAAGGUUGGUUAAUGCAUAGGAGAAGCUGUAUUUGUUUCUACCUUUUUGUUCAAAAUGGUGCAUAAGUUAUCUGAUAUGCACACAGUACAGGAGCAGUUCCCCAUCUGUGGGUCACAAAACCUUUUGGGAAUCAAAUGACAAGAAAUGGUGCAUAUGGUAUCUGAUAUGCACACAGUACAGGAGCAGUUCCCAAUCUGUGGGUUACAAAACCUUUUGGGAAUCAAAUGACAAAAAAUGGUGCAUAAGGUAUCUGAUAUGCACACAAAAUAGGAGCUGUUCUCAAUCUGUGGGUCACAAAACCUUUUGGAAUCAAAUCACCCAGUACAGGAGUCAUCUAAGACUAUCUGAAAACAUAGACAUUUAUGUUAUGAUUAAUAACUGUAGCAAAAUUACAGAUUUUAAGUAGCAAUAAGAGUAUUUUUAUGAUCAGGGGUGACCAUAACAUGAAGAACUAUAUUUAAAGGUUACAGCAUUAGGAAGUUGAGAACCAGGUGAUAUUAAAUGGCUGUCUGUAGUGUUGAUUGUAGCUUGACUGUCCACCUCUAUGAUCACCCUUCUUGAAAUCAGUCAGGGUUAUAGCUCUUUGACAGUCACAACUAAGUUCCAGCAAUCUUUUUCUUCCCUCAGCCUUGAAAGAAAUUUGACAAGGUUUUAUGGUUCAGAAGGUAGAUGUGGAUAUAGACCUCUGUCUUCUUGUCUCAUACACAUGCAUAAAAGGAAGCCACAAGAGCAGCAGGGGGAAGCAGUUGAGUGAUACUUUCUAUAUGUGAUGGGAGGGGUUUGUAGUUUGUGUACCCUCUAGAUUGCAUAGAUACAACCAAAUCAAGGGCAUGCAUGUCUUUAAGAUUGUGAUAAAAGGAAUAACGCCUGUCACUAACUAGUUCAUACUUACUAUAGAUGGGCUUCCUAUUUCCAUCAAAGGCAUGCAAUUGAAGCCAACGAUAUGUACCUACCUCAGUGACCACAUUUCUACUGAAUAUACACAGGGCAUCCCAUCUUAAUCAAUCAGACCCUACCCUUUUCAUAUAGUUAAAGGUUCUGCCAAUAAAGAAGACUGAAAUUAUUUUAUAAUGGUCACAAAUGUUUCUCAAUUGCAAUCAGUUAAUCAAAUACACUCACACCAAUCAUGAGUCACAUGCAAUCCCAGUGUUGCAAUUUUUCUCUUAAUGUCAGUUAUUGAAUGCCAAAUUAUUAAAUCCUUCUUUAACUAGAGCACCAUCCUUGCAGUGAGAACAGUACCUGUGGCAACUGGCUGCCCUUUCUCAACUCCGUGUGUGACAUGAAUGCAAGUUGAGUCUAGGGAUUGGGAUGUUUUUGUGUUUUGUUAAACAGACAUCGUAUAGCAGCUCUGUUUCAUCUGAAGCAGUGCCUUCCUCUGCAUGGAUGAGUUUGUUUUGUUUGACAUAAGCAUUAGAGAGAACAAAUCAAAUCAAAUGGAGACAAAAUAAGAUAAAGGAGAUUGAAGGUUAUAUUUGGUUUUUGAUCAUUCGAAGACACUUAUCUUUCUAUAUAAUGUUAAAAUUUCUUUGUUUUCCGAUUUCAGCAAAGAGGUUGGUACACAUGUUCAAAAAAUAUUUUUUACAAACGUCAUAGUUUUUGAUCACAAUAUCUGAGUCAGUUUCCAAAUAAACACAUUGUCUCCCAUGAUUGCAGGAAACAGUGUUAAUAGGAAUUCUGCCAACAGUUCCGAACUCAAGCCGUGGUCUUGAGCAAUGAAAUAAAUUGUCUGCAAUGAAGAUAUGAAUAAAUUACUAAUAGAGGACUCUUCAUUUAUCUUUAAUGCUUUGCCAAACACCAGCUUGAUUGAAACUCUGAUAGUUAGCAGAAAGAAGAAAGGGUGUAUCUUGACGAAGAAUCAAACUAGCAAGGGUAAUGGAGUAGAGCCUUUCCAUGUGGAAUUCCAUCUCAACAAUCCUGUUUCUUUAAAGGUCGGAAGCUCAUACAUACUUGGAAUUUUUGCUCUCUGCCUUUGAUUUAAAGCGCAAAAUCAAAAGCUUGUUCUAUGAAAAGAAAUGCACUCGAGCAACCCAGGAAUGUGCUGAAGCCUUUCUACAAAUUAAUCUCUUCUUUAGUGCAGGGAAACAUGCAGACCAUUCAGGGACAGUGGGAGGAGCUGGGGCUUGAAUUUGAGCCAAGCUUAAUGAGGAAUUGGAGGCAAAAUGGGAUUGAACUGUACCUUGUUAACUGAUGAAAGCUGUGAAUGAGCUAGACUUACUCGCCAAGAAUUCCUUCCUUUUGUUGCAAUUAACUAUAGGGAAUACUUUUGAGAUAGUUUUUGUGAUCUUUAAACACUAAGAUAUGAUUUUAAAAUAUGUUUAUGUUUAAAACUUAGGAAGGAGGUCAUUUAUUCAUUCUCAUUUGUAAUGUGGCUGCUAGUUUUGAAGACACACUGCUUCAAAUUUCUGUAGACUUGGUUGUCUGACUUGAAAUCUAUAUUACUAACCACUCUAUGAGGUGCCAGAGGGAAAAGCAAUGUUAAUCACUGGCUGUGUCUGGGGGCCUCACAUUCCAGCCAUUGCUGCUGAAAUCUCUCAGCCACAGCAGGGAAAGCAGAAACCCAGGGGCCAAGCAUGCACUAGGCAUUGAGCUGCAGAUCUCUCAGGCACUCAUUCCUCUUAAGAACCAGCACAUACCUUUCCCAGGGAGACUGAUUUACGGCGCGAAUACUGUUUACUCUGCAAAUUUCUUCUAUAGAAAACGUGGUGAGCAGGAAUCCUGGUAAUACCGAGAAUGGAUGUUCAAAUGGGACUUGGGAAGGCUGGGCUUUAGGACAAAGAAAAAUCUUCUUGAACGACUUAUUAAAACACCCCAUGGCCCAAUUUUCCUUGUUGUGAGCUUGAGAUGGGACCUGCACAUUGAGCUGUUGCAAAGCAUUGUGUGAUUUAUAAUAGUUUUAAUAUGGUUCUUUUUUUUUUUUUUGGAGCUGGGGACCGAACCCAGGGCCUUGUGCUUGCUAGGCAAGUGCUCUAUCACUGAGCUAAAUCCCCAACCCCAAUAUGGUUCUUAAAGGCAAGGUAGGUGUCUAGCACCUUCUAAUUGAUAGAUCAGAAGACACACCUCAUUUUGGUGGAUAUAUUCUUCUCUUAAAAGUCUGAGCACUGAACUCUUUAUGAACAGAAUAAUCAUGUGCAUGCAAAAGUCACUGGGUUGAGUAUGAAAUUGAUAAAUGGGAACUGGGUUCCGAAUCUCAGUAAUUAAAAAUCAAGUAAGAAUAGACUUGAACAGAAGCUCAAGAAGGACAUUUUUAGUGUUGAAAAUAUAAGUAAAUUGUAAAACACAGCAACAAGUUAUAAGCUCCAGCUGCUGCCCAGAGGACAAGUGGAGAAGAGAGUGAAAAAAACAAGCCUCACUGUUCAAACUGGCAUGGGGGUCAGACACAUAAUGGACACACAUCUACAUGGUAGAAGGAAGGACUUAGAAAAAGAGUAAGAGUGUCCCAAUAUUGGAGAAGGCCAAAGUGUUAAAGAAGUAUUAAGGCUUAGAUAAUACAGAAAGCAUGCAAUUUUACCUUUCAGAAAAACUCAGAAGAUCAGGCAGAUGUGUGAAGCUACAUUGUAUGUGUGUGUGUGUGUGUGUGUGUGUGUGUGUGUGUGUGUGAAUGAUAAGCCCAGUGUCUCAUCGUGGAGCUCAGUUUCCUCCUGUAUCUGGCAUAGCUGAAUGAGGAACCUACAAGCAUCACAGAAAGUGUCAUUGCUUUAUCAUUUCUGCUCCCAUUUGGCAAAGGAGAGUAUGGUAUAGGCACUGGUGGCCUGGACCUCUGUCCUUCCCUCAUCUUCUAUAAUCAUUGAUCUCUCUGAGCUUCUGACAUUUUGUCCUCGCUUUGCUCAUUCCGUUUGGGAUAAACAAAGAGGAAAUUUUGCUAAGAUUAUGUCAUCUUUCUUGGUUCAAGACUAUGCAUGGGUUAAAAGAGUUCUCAAAAAGUAAUGUUUGCUCUUUUGAGUAAGAGCUACUUCCUGUCAGUCCCCUGAUGGCAUUUGAUUCCUUUCAAUCCACAUUCACUAAUUUACAGAAGAUAUAAAAGUGGAUAUCAUGUAUGCCUAAAUCUGACCAUGAACUAAGUUUAUAUGCAUUUGUAAGGGAAUAGUUUGAUCUUGUUUGAGGCAGAAUUUUUAAACAAAAAACAUUUAUAAUUUUUCUUCUAUGAUAUAUACAUACCCAUGGGAAGGGGAAGGAAAGCAGCUAUCUUCUCAGAAAAAUGACUUUUUAAGUAACCACAAAUAGACCAAGAGGUCUAUAAGAAUAUACUAAAAACUGCAACGGUAAUAUGUUUAGUGGAAUAGGGGUGUGUUCAUUAGAAUAGGAUGCCAGCCCUGUGAAGAUGGAGUUCUUGAAUUCCCAGUGAAUAUAUGUAUUCCAAUUCUAUGACUAAGGAGCUCAGAGAUGCAAGCUGAGGAGGAAUGUAUGACUUUUGUCAAAUUAGCUCUUAGGGAAGAACUUGCUAAUGUCCCUACAGUUCAGGAGCUAAAUUGACAUAUCUAUUUCAGGCAUUGCAAGGGGCAGCAUACAGGGGGCAGUAUAGGUCCAAUGCUAAAUUAUUCCCAAAAGUUUCAUGGAAGGUAAUGAUGCUGUUAUUAUUUUUUUCCCAAAGAAACUUAUGAACUGAUGAAGAAUUUACCCAAGAUACAAACCUAUACAAUAUGGCUCCACAUAUAAACUGAUGAUUCCACAGGGUUUAUAGGGGGGGGAAACAAUGUUAAUAUAAUAAAAAGCAUUUUCUGGAUGAAUUUAAUUGUAUUUCCUCCUUCUACAAUAUCAUACAUUUGCCUCGAUAUUAGAAUAACUCAGGAGAAGUUUUAUGUCUAGACUUCUCUUUCAUCCCAGAAAAUCCUCAGCAAUUACAAUUGGGCUCUUUUAGAAAGGGAGACAGAAAAAAAAAAACCUGUAGGAUUCCUAUACGAUAUAUUAAAAGGACAUGUUCUUUUUAAGAAGGAAAGAAUUCACUUUUUAGUAGCUAUACAUCUGGUGUGAAAAUCAUUUUUGAAGCAAAUCAAGGACCCUUUUAAAGUUGAGAUGCAUUUAUUUGCACAAAGUCUUUACAGGACUGGUCCAUGUCAACCAGUAGUCUGGGAUGCUUGGGAGCAAAGGCAAGUAUUUCAAACUAUAUUUAGAACAGUAAAUCAACUUGAACAUCUACUCUCUGUGAGACGUCAUGAAAUCUCUUGGGAGUUUAAAAUAUGUCACAUUGGUCUUUCUUUUUUUCUUUCCACUUUCAAAGGAGUCUUUGGAAAGAAUAGAUAAUAGGUGGCAAAUUAUAGCCUACACUGUGGUUGGGCUAUGUGGUUUUUCUUAGUGGAGCCGAUUGGAGAGGCCAGAUGCUUCACGUUCUGGUCUGCUCUGAUGUUGAACAGGCCCUGGCCUUGUUCCCGAGGCCUGGCUGUGGAUGUCUCUGGACCAGGCUAUCUUGUAGAUCAAAUAAAUUCUUCAAGAAGAUCUCUUCCUAACCUCGUAGGAUUACCCUGCCUUUCUGGGACUGCAGUUCCAACUGUAGAAAUAGUAGUUCCCAUGAAAGAAGAGUGUGAAAGUAUCAAAGGCUAAAGGGUUGGGGGAGAAGCAGAGGAAUGCAUGUCAUGCGAGAUUAUUAACUAUAAUUUCUGAUGGAAAGUUCCAAAUUUCCUUUGAACAACUGCCUUGGGGCAAGUCCUAUAGGAAGCACAGAGCUCACAUAUAAUAUGUCAUUAACUGGGCUUAUGAUUUCCUUGGAGUGUUUAUAGGUUGGGUUAGGAUGUGGAAUGCAUAAGCCAUAUACAAAAUCACAGUGCAUUUAUUGCUUCCUCUGCCAGUCCACUGGGGGAAAGUCAUGAAGCUUGCAGAGGCAUCUCCGGUAUGCUUGAAAACUAAGCUUUUACCUUUAUUUAACCUCAGAAGCUACAUCUGACCUAGCAAGUCCUAUAAAGCUAUUGUGAUAAACAUUCUCAGAGCCUGGAGACAUGUGGACACUCCUAUUGUGGAUAAGUAAAACUUCUCUGUACCUCAGACAUCUUUCCUCAGCCUUCCUUAUGCUUGACAGUAGGAAGAGAUACUGUUUCUGGAAAAUAAAGAAAAAACAACAUUAGGUUGGCUUGCAUUAGUCAUUUCUGAUUUAUUGUAUUUGGUGAGCUGUAGCUAUAGAGAAAUUAUGGGUUGAAUUGGUAUAAGUCCAGUGCUAAUGGGACCAAAGUUCAUUGGUCUGGUUUAUUUCUUGGUGACUAUCAUAACUCUGACUCUAUCUGGCACAGGUUCCCUUUCCCAUCAGGAUCAUGGUAUUCUCAGAACCUUCUUGGGAUCAUGAUGAGACCGAUGUUCUGAUCAAGUGACUGAAGCCAACUGCAUUUUUCUCUGAGACCUGGAACAUGUUUAAAAUCUGUGUACUCAAUUUCUUUUCUAAAGAGGUUGGGAAGAUAUUGAACUUAUUCCCUCCGCUACAUGCUUCUCUAGCAUACAACAGCAGGGCACACCAUCCAUUUAUUCUCUUUGUCAGGUGAUAUCCUAGACUCAGAGAAAUCCUUAUUGAUUUACCAGGCCAUCAGAAUAGACCUACUAACAAAUAUUUUUAAUAUCAAACAGUAUUAAUCUUACUAUUAGGUGGUAUUAUAGGAAGUAAACAAAACACUAAAACACUGGACACUUGGCAUUAACCUGAUCUUCCUUGUAAGGUUAGUAUUGAACUCCACCUUCCCCCAAACCCUGAGAAGCAGGUCCUACCUCUGUAUCCAGCUGAUGGCAAUGGAGGGAAGAGAAAGAAUAAGCCAGUUUCCUCACCAAAGGCAGCAACAGCUCAAGUAAAAAGCCAGGGAUGGCUUCAGGUCACUCCAAAGACAGUGGUGAAAUAACCAUUGCUGUGUUCAAUUUGCUUGACUUCUGUAGAAUAUUUGCCACAUGUGGAUUUCUCCAAUUUAGAAAAUCAGAGGUUCAAUUAUUGAAAAACAGUAAAGUAGAGACAGUGUAAUUCUGUGUGAAUACUUCCUUUCCCAAUGUUUUAGAAACAGACAAUAUGAAGCUGUCCAACAGCCAUUUCUUCGGUCUCCUUUAUAAAUACAGUAAAUGAGAUCACCCUGGGCUCAUUUAUCCUUGUUGGGGAAAGUUCUAAAUUACUCCUCUUGAGACUUUCCACUUAGAGCUGGUUUGUCUAAUGGUAGAUUGACAAAUUAACAGACUGAAGCUUCAGUCUCCUUUCAUUUUGGUGAGGAUCAAUUGCACCUCUGGUUCUUAGUAGCUUUAUAAAAGAAUUCUUAAUCCAGAACCUUGAACUGCCAGAUAUAUCUUCAAUACUCCUUACAAAGCAUACAAUAAAUGUUAAAUAUUAGCAAUAUUGAUGCCAAGAACUGAAUUUUCCUCUCAAGGUGAUAUGCUGAAGUCUUAGUUCCCACUGUGAAUGUAUUGGGAGAUAAACAGUACAUUUUGGAACUCAAUCUGAGUAGCUAGCUUUUUAAGAAUACAAGUAGCUGUUUUUAUUCAUUUGACCAACACAACUGUAGGAGAACAGAGUGAGAACCAGCCUUCUAGACAGGACACCCAUGUGCCACAAGAUCUCAGACACUAUGCAACAAAUUUUGCUUGUUUCAUCUACCCAGUCUCUAGUGUUUUAGUUUUAGUCAAGCAGAAUGAAUUGCUGUAGAGCUGUUUUCCUUCUUGUGUGGGUGUGUUUUUCAUUUAACAUUUAAUUGCUUCCCUUGUUUUUGUUCAUUCCUUUUGUUUCUGUUCCUUCAGCCUGCCCUGCCUUUUCUUUAAUUUUGACACCUCUUUAUUUCCCUCAUGAUUCUCAACAUUAAGCAUAAUAGCAAUGUUAGACGGCCAAGUAGCCUUAUUUGGGGACACCAUUUACAUGAUUCCCAGGCCUUUUCUUAUUAACUUCCUCUGGAGAGUUGUGUAAGUCAUUUCAUAAUUGUGCUGUUUUCUAUCUUCCUAUACUUUUCAGCAUCCCGCCCUCCACUCUUUGAUGCUUUUGCUUUUCUAGCCUACAUAUUUAGAACCUGGAUGCUUCUUAUCCGUGUCCAGAUAUUUGCCCAUUACUGUGGGCCUACAUACCAUGUAAUAAGACACUGGCACUCCUUAUUGUAGACAGAAAUAUCUUUUUUUUACACUGCUAUGACUAAAUUCUGUCCUACCAAAACCACACAUUGUAGUCUUAAUCCCUAGAUUCUCAGGGCAUAACUUUAUUUGGAAGUAGACCUUAUGAGAGACAAUGAAGCUGUAAGGGUAAGCCCUAAUUCAGUCUUAUUUGAAUUACUAAAAGAAAUGGCAAUUAGGAUGUACAGUGAUGACUCAGACAGGCAAGCACACAAGCACAUGAAAACAGACCUUCUGGAUUGAUGUCAUUUUCAAGCAGAGGAGAAAAACUGAACUGUCUCCUUCAUACUGGUCUUCACACCUCCAGAAGCUUUGAAAACUUGUGUCAUGGUCAAAAAGACACACACACACACACACACACACACACACACACACACACAGAGAGAGAGAGAGAGAGAGAGAGAGAGAGAGAGAGAGAGUGUUAAG
Molecule: non-coding RNA, 8986 nt
Organism: Rattus norvegicus (Norway rat)
Lineage: Eukaryota; Metazoa; Chordata; Mammalia; Rodentia; Muridae
Source: RefSeq, a predicted model, not a curated record